Molecule: long non-coding RNA, 262 nt
Filed under: Lathyrus oleraceus (garden pea)
Lineage: Eukaryota; Viridiplantae; Streptophyta; Magnoliopsida; Fabales; Fabaceae
Description: Pisum sativum (pea) long non-coding RNA (PSAT_LNC013039)
Source: RNAcentral
GGUUUUGUCCUCUAGUGACUUAAGUUAAUGUGAGCGGUUGAUGGUCAAGUCCACAUGUUUUUUGUGCAUUUUAAUUUCUCCUUUGAUGUCAUGCUGCUAAAAACCUGGCCUUGGGUUUGUUUGGUCAUUGGGCCUAAACGUCUCGCUUUUCACACCCCUCAUAUUGGGCCCAUGAGCACGGUUCACUCAGUAAUCAGUACAUUCUUUGGUUUACUAAUGCACCUCUCUCUUUCAUUUCUCAUUUAUUUUUAUUUUUAUUGUA